Long non-coding RNA from Neltuma alba, 460 nucleotides. RefSeq lists it as uncharacterized. The record is from RefSeq and is a predicted model, not a curated record. The transcript has 3 exons. Lineage: Eukaryota; Viridiplantae; Streptophyta; Magnoliopsida; Fabales; Fabaceae.
CGCUAACAAGCUCGGACGCGGGGGUUAUGGGCCUGUCUACAAGGGAAAGCUUCAAGGAGGUCAAGAUAUUGCAGUCAAGAGGCUUUCAAGUGUUUCUUCACAAGGAAUGAAGGAAUUCAAGAAUGAAGUCGUCUUGAUAUCCAAACUUCAACAUCGAAACCUUGUUAGACUUCGGGGCUAUUGCAUUACAGGAGAAGAAAAAAUAUUACUUUAUGAAUACAUGCCAAACAAAAGCUUAGACACAUUCUUAUUCGAUCGUACACAACGGGUGAUUUUGGAUUGGCCAAUGCGUUUUGACAUAAUUUUAGGAGUUGUUAGGGGCAUGUUAUAUCUUCAUCAAGACUCUAGAUUGAGAGUAAUUCAUAGAGAUUUGAAAACUAGUAAUAUUCUUUUGGAUGAGGAGAUGCAACCAAAAAUUUCAGACUUUGGACUUGCAAAAAUAUUUGGAGACAAGGAUGUU